AGCUUUGCGCAUUGGCGAUAUCGUAACCAAUGAAGUUCUACCGAGGUGCGAUUAUUGCUAGUUGAAAUAGAGAAAAAAAACUUCGAAAGAUCGGAUCGAAAAUAAACCGAUUUAAUCAAUUUUUCCAAGGCUAAAGAAUC
Uranotaenia lowii is the source of this 140-nucleotide small nuclear RNA. RefSeq annotates it as U4 spliceosomal RNA. The record is from RefSeq and is a predicted model, not a curated record. The transcript has a single exon. NCBI's taxonomy places the organism in Eukaryota, Metazoa, Arthropoda, Insecta, Diptera, Culicidae.